UACGAAGGGUGCUAGCGUUGUUCGGAAUCAUUGGGCGUAAAGCGAGUGUAGGUGGUUAUUUAAGUCAGAUGUGAAAUCCCUUGGCUCAACCAAGGAAGUGCAUUUGAAACUAAUUAGCUAGAAGAUGGUAGAGGAAGGUGGAAUUCCAAGUGUAGAGGUGAAAUUCGUAGAUAUUUGGAGGAAUACCUGUGGCGAAGGCGGCCUUCUGGGCCAUUCUUGACACUGAGACUCGAAAGCGUGGGUAGCAAACAGG
RNAcentral lists this ribosomal RNA (253 nucleotides) under uncultured bacterium. Its description in RNAcentral is "partial 16S ribosomal RNA". It matches the Rfam family "Bacterial small subunit ribosomal RNA", at positions 524 to 776 of the family's 1533-position model. The record is from RNAcentral.